GCGAACUGGUGAGUAACACGUGGGAAACCUGCCCAGAAGCGGGGGAUAACACCUGGAAACAGAUGCUAAUACCGCAUAACAACUUGGACCGCAUGGUCCGAGUUUGAAAGAUGGCUUCGGCUAUCACUUUUGGAUGGUCCCGCGGCGUAUUAGCUAGAUGGUGGGGUAACGGCUCACCAUGGCAAUGAUACGUAGCCGACCUGAGAGGGUAAUCGGCCACAUUGGGACUGAGACACGGCCCAAACUCCUACGGGAGGCAGCAGUAGGGAAUCUUCCACAAUGGACGAAAGUCUGAUGGAGCAACGCCGCGUGAGUGAAGAAGGGUUUCGGCUCGUAAAACUCUGUUGUUAAAGAAGAACAUAUCUGAGAGUAACUGUUCAGGUAUUGACGGUAUUUAACCAGAAAGCCACGGCUAACUACGUGCCAGCAGCCGCGGUAAUACGUAGGUGGCAAGCGUUGUCCGGAUUUAUUGGGCGUAAAGCGAGCGCAGGCGGUUUUUUAAGUCUGAUGUGAAAGCCUUCGGCUCAACCGAAGAAGUGCAUCGGAAACUGGGAAACUUGAGUGCAGAAGAGGACAGUGGAACUCCAUGUGUAGCGGUGAAAUGCGUAGAUAUAUGGAAGAACACCAGUGGCGAAGGCGGCUGUCUGGUCUGUAACUGACGCUGAGGCUCGAAAGUAUGGGUAGCAAACAGGAUUAGAUACCCUGGUAGUCCAUACCGUAAACGAUGAAUGCUAAGUGUUGGAGGGUUUCCGCCCUUCAGUGCUGCAGCUAACGCAUUAAGCAUUCCGCCUGGGGAGUACGGCCGCAAGGCUGAAACUCAAAGGAAUUGACGGGGGCCCGCACAAGCGGUGGAGCAUGUGGUUUAAUUCGAAGCUACGCGAAGAACCUUACCAGGUCUUGACAUACUAUGCAAAUCUAAGAGAUUAGACGUUCCCUUCGGGGACAUGGAUACAGGUGGUGCAUGGUUGUCGUCAGCUCGUGUCGUGAGAUGUUGGGUUAAGUCCCGCAACGAGCGCAACCCUUAUUAUCAGUUGCCAGCAUUAAGUUGGGCACUCUGGUGAGACUGCCGGUGACAAACCGGAGGAAGGUGGGGAUGACGUCAAAUCAUCAUGCCCCUUAUGACCUGGGCUACACACGUGCUACAAUGGAUGGUACAACGAGUUGCGAACUCGCGAGAGUAAGCUAAUCUCUUAAAGCCAUUCUCAGUUCGGAUUGUAGGCUGCAACUCGCCUACAUGAAGUCGGAAUCGCUAGUAAUCGCGGAUCAGCAUGCCGCGGUGAAUACGUUCCCGGGCCUUGUACACACCGCCCGUCACACCAUGAGAGUUUGUAACACCCAAAGUCGGUGGGGUAACCUUUUAGGAACCAG
Molecule: ribosomal RNA, 1368 nt
Filed under: Lactiplantibacillus plantarum
Lineage: Bacteria; Bacillati; Bacillota; Bacilli; Lactobacillales; Lactobacillaceae
Description: bacterial SSU rRNA
Rfam family: Bacterial small subunit ribosomal RNA
Source: RNAcentral